Molecule: ribosomal RNA, 2900 nt
Filed under: Planctomycetota bacterium
Lineage: Bacteria; Pseudomonadati; Planctomycetota
Description: 23S ribosomal RNA
Rfam family: Bacterial large subunit ribosomal RNA
Source: RNAcentral
GGUCAAGCUACUAAGGGUGUACGGUGGAUGUCUUGGCAUCGAGAGGCGACGAAAGACGUGGUAGCCUGCGAUAUGCUUCGGGAAGCCGGCAAACAGGCAUUGAUCCGAAGAUUUCUGAAUGUGGAAACACGGCUGGGGUUAUUCCCAGUCACUCCUGCCUGAAUGUAUAGGGCAGGUAGAGCGAACGCGGGGAACUGAAACAUCUAAGUACCCGCAGGAAAAUAAAGAGACAUCGAUUCCGUGAGUAGCGGCGAGCGAAAGCGGAACUAGCCCAAACCGGGAUUCGUUCCGGGGUUGCGGGCGCCUUGAGGGGUUACAAAACCAUGGUCAGUCGAAGAGUCUGGAAAGGCUCACCAAAGAGGGUGACAGUCCCGUAGGCGACGGCCGAUGGUCCCCGUUACAGAGGCGUACCAGAGUAGCACGGAGCUCGUGGAACUCCGUGUGAAGCAGGGCGGCCCACCGCCCAAGGCUAAAUACUCCUCGAUGACCGAUAGUGAACCAGUAGGGCGAUUGAACGAUGAAAAGCACAGCUUUUAGCUGAGUUAAAAGCACCUGAAACCGUACACUUACAACGCGGUAGGAGGCCUAUGGCCCGCAAGGGCAAUGGCUGACUGCGUACCUUUUGCAUAAUGGACCGGCGAGUUCACGUUUACAGCAAGGCUAAGGAGUCAAGCUCCGGAGCCGCAGUGAAAGCGAGCCUUAAGAUGGCGUUUAGUUGUAGGCGUGAGGCCCGAAACCCCGUGAUCUACCCAUGGCCAGUGUGAAUGCCCCGUAAAAGGGGCAGAAGGCACGAAGACGUGAACGUUGAAAAGUUCUGUCAUGAGCUGUGGGGAGGAGUGAAAGUCUAAUCAAACGGGGAGAUAUCUGGUUCUCUUCGAAAUGCCUUUUGGGGCAGCCUCGAGCCACUACUCACAGGGGGUAGAGCGACUGAAAGGAGACAUGGGCCUACCCGGCUACAUGCUCCUACCAAACUCCGAAUACCUGUGAGACUAUCUCGGGAGUGAGUCCGCGAGGGAUAAUCUUCGCGGUCAAGAGGGAAACAACCCAGACCGUCUGCUAAGGUCCCGAAAUUCAGCUUAGUUCGAUAGGAAGUUAUCUUGCUGAGACAGCCAGGAUGUUGGCUUAGAAGCAGCCACCAUUUAAAAAGUGCGUAAUAGCUUACUGGUCGAGCCGGAUAGCGCCGUAGAUGAUCGGGAAUAAGCUGGAUACCGAAGCAGCGGGAACAAGCAAUUGUUCGGUAGAAGAGCGUUGCAUGCAGCAGUGAAGGCGUACCGUAAGGAGCGCUGGAGCGCAUGCAAGUGAGAAUGCCGGUAUGAGUAACGAUAACGCAGGUGAAAAUCCUGCGCGCCGAAAACCUAAGGUUUCCUGGGGAAGGUAAAUCCGCCCAGGGUUAGUCGGAAGCUAAGUGGAGGCCGAAAGGCGUACACGAUGCACAGCAGGUUAAUAUUCCUGCACCGACGGUGAAGGUUGAACCACGCGUGACGUCCUUCCAAGGCAGAUCCCCCGAUCAGAUGUGGGGGUUGGGCGCGGCGCAAGCCGCGAUCACCAGGCCGUUUUGUUGCCGAAGUCUGUGGCGGGAGGGCCGAGAAAAACCGCGUGGGGACGACAUCGUUGCCCGUACUAAAACUGACACAGGUAGGUGAGGAGCGUAUCCUCAGGCGCUCGAGAGAACUGCGGUUAAGGAACUAGGCAAUCUAACCCCGUAACUUCGGGAUAAGGGGUCCCUCCUUGCUUUUAGCAAGAGGGCGCAGGAAACGGGACGGGCGACUGUUUAUCAAAAACACAGUUCCGUGCUAACUCGCAAGAGGAUGUAUACGGAAUGACGCCUGCUCGGUGCCGGAAUGUUAAGGAAGUCGGUUAGGGGUUCGCCCCAAAGCUGGCAACCGAAGCACCGGUAAACGGCGGCCGUAACUAUGACGGUCCUAAGGUAGCGAAGUUCCUUGUCAGGUAAGUUCUGACGUGCAUGAACGGCGUAACGACUUGUCCGCUGUCUCAACCGCAGACUCGGUGAAAUUGAAGUGGCGGUGAAGAUACCGUCUACCCGCAGCAAGACGGAAAGACCCCGUGGACCUUUACUAUAGCCUGGUACUGACGCCGGGUGGAAACUGCGUAGGAUAGGUGGGAGGCGUUGAUCUGCCGGUUCUGGCCGGCAGGGAGCCAACGGUGAAAUACCACCCUGUUUGCAUUCGUCGUCUCACCCUGGUCCGUGAAACCGGCCAGGGAACCGUGCUAGGUGGGUAGUUUGACUGGGGCGGUCUCCUCCCAAAGAGUAACGGAGGAGUGCAAAGGCAGGCUCAGUCCGGUUGGCAAUCGGACGUUGAGUGCAUAGGCACAAGCCUGCUCGACUGCGAGUGCUACGGCACGAGCAGAGCUGAAAGGCGGCCUAAGUGAUCCUGUGGUCGCGUGUGGAAGCGCCAUAGCUCAACGGAUAAAAGGUACCCCGGGGAUAACAGGCUGAUCGCAUCCGAGCGUCCAUAGCGGCGAUGCGGUUUGGCACCUCGAUGUCGGCUCAUCACAUCCUGGGGCUGAAGGCGGUCCCAAGGGUUUGGCUGUUCGCCAAUUAAAGUGGUACGUGAGCUGGGUUCAGACCGGCGUGAGCCAGGUCGGUCCCUAUCUGCUGUGGGCGUAGGAAUCUUGAAGGCACCUCUUCCCUAGUACGAGAGGAUUGGGAAGGACGGACCCCUGGUGUACCAGUUGUCCUGCUAAGGGCACGGCUGGGUAGCUAUGUCCGGAACGGAUAAACGCUGAAAGCAUCUAAGCGUGAAGCCUAUGCCAAGAUAAGGAUUCCCAGGGAGCUUGCUCCCGAGAGACCCCGGGUAGACCACCCGGUUGAUAGGCUGGAGCUGUACGGCUCGAAAGGGCUUCAGGUUACCAGUACUAAGGGUCGAUGGCUUGACCAC